AUCGCUUCUCGGCCUUUUGGCUAAGAUCAAGUGUAGAAAGAUGCUAAGGGUAGAGUCUAAAAAGAGAUUCUUAACAUUGAAAGGUUCCUUAGAGUUUUUCAGGACUAAGACUACCUUUC
This 119-nucleotide small nuclear RNA is filed under the name Ursus americanus (American black bear). RNAcentral describes it as "U2 spliceosomal RNA". It matches the Rfam family "U2 spliceosomal RNA". From Rfam's summary of the family: U2 is a small nuclear RNA (snRNA) component of the spliceosome (involved in pre-mRNA splicing). Complementary binding between U2 snRNA (in an area lying towards the 5' end but 3' to hairpin I) and the branchpoint sequence (BPS) of the intron results the bulging out of an unpaired adenosine, on the BPS, which initiates a nucleophilic attack at the intronic 5' splice site, thus starting the first of two transesterification reactions that mediate splicing. The record is from Rfam by way of RNAcentral. RNAcentral also lists the same sequence under 2 other names. Lineage: Eukaryota; Metazoa; Chordata; Mammalia; Carnivora; Ursidae.